RNAcentral lists this unclassified non-coding RNA (258 nucleotides) under rhizosphere metagenome. RNAcentral's name for it is "partial ribosomal RNA internal transcribed spacer region". The record is from RNAcentral.
GUAGGUGAACCUGCGGAAGGAUCAUUAUCGAGUUUUUUGAACGGGUUGUAGCUGGCCUCUCUCACGAGGCAUGUGCACGCUCGGCUCAUCCACUCUCUUACCUCUGUGCACCAUUUGUAAGAAAAAAGGUUACAGACCGCCAGCCGGUUGAAGACCUGCUUUCUUAUGUUUUAUUACAAACGCUUCAGUAUCAGAAUGUGAUUUUAUCAUGCGUAACGCAUUAUAAUACAACUUUCAGCAACGGAUCUCUUGGCUCUC